GCCCCAGACUCCUACGGGAGGCAGCAGUGGGGAAUAUUGCACAAUGGGGGAAACCCUGAUGCAGCGACGCCGCGUGAGCGAUGAAGUAUUUCGGUCUGUAAAGCUCUAUCAGCAGGGAAGAAAAUGACGGUACCUGACUAAGAAGUCCCGGCUAACUACGUGCCAGCAGCCGCGGUAAUACGUAGGGGGCAAGCGUUAUCCGGAUUUACUGGGUGUAAAGGGAGCGUAGACGGCCAUUCAAGCCAGAUGUGAAAGCCCGGGGCUCAACCCCGGGACUGCAUUUGGAACUGUGUGGCUAGAGUGUCGGAGAGGCAGGCGGAAUUCCUGGUGUAGCGGUGAAAUGCGUAGAUAUUAGGAGGAACACCAGUGGCGAAGGCGGCCUGCUGGACGAUGACUGACGUUGAGGCUCGAAAGCGUGGGGAGCAAACAGGAUUAGAUACCCGUGUA
Molecule: ribosomal RNA, 447 nt
Filed under: uncultured bacterium
Lineage: Bacteria
Description: bacterial SSU rRNA
Rfam family: Bacterial small subunit ribosomal RNA
Source: RNAcentral